CAAUAGGAGGACAAGAUGUCUGCGACAUCUGUUACUUCACUGAUCACCACAGUUUAUUGAGCUGACUUGGUUAGUCAACAGAUGUAUUCUUGUCUCUCACAGCUUCAUGUCUAUGUUCCUAACCUUGGGGAUAAAAGGAAAAAUGUUCUUUCUGGACAGCGUGAAUCAUUCUGAGAUCAAGGAUACAGUGUCUAUGAUAAAGGUAACCACAAAUUCUUGGCUACUUCUCUCAUUGAAAGGUAGAAUCUA
This 249-nucleotide small RNA is filed under the name Castor canadensis (American beaver). RNAcentral's name for it is "7SK RNA (ENSCCNG00000025726.1)". The stretch from base 1 to 189 matches the Rfam family "7SK RNA". Rfam says of the family: 7SK was discovered as an abundant small nuclear RNA in the mid-70s but a possible function has only recently been suggested. Two independent studies have found that 7SK RNA binds the CDK9/cyclin T complex (known as elongation factor P-TEFb). P-TEFb activates transcription by phosphorylating the C-terminal domain of RNA polymerase II. Lineage: Eukaryota; Metazoa; Chordata; Mammalia; Rodentia; Castoridae. The record is from RNAcentral.